GAUGAACGCUGGCGGCGUGCCUAAUACAUGCAAGUCGAGCGAACAGAUAAGGAGCUUGCUCCUUUGACGUUAGCGGCGGACGGGUGAGUAACACGUGGAUAACCUACCUAUAAGACUGGGAUAACUUCGGGAAACCGGAGCUAAUACCGGAUAACAUAUUGAACCGCAUGGUUCAACAGUGAAAGGCGGCUUUGCUGUCACUUAUAGAUGGAUCCGCGCCGUAUUAGCUAGUUGGUAAGGUAACGGCUUACCAAGGCAACGAUGCGUAGCCGACCUGAGAGGGUGAUCGGCCACACUGGAACUGAGACACGGUCCAGACUCCUACGGGAGGCAGCAGUAGGGAAUCUUCCGCAAUGGGCGAAAGCCUGACGGAGCAACGCCGCGUGAGUGAUGAAGGUCUUCGGAUCGUAAAACUCUGUUAUCAGGGAAGAACAAAUGUGUAAGUAACUGUGCACAUCUUGACGGUACCUGAUCAGAAAGCCACGGCUAACUACGUG
RNAcentral lists this ribosomal RNA (497 nucleotides) under uncultured bacterium. RNAcentral's name for it is "partial 16S ribosomal RNA". It matches the Rfam family "Bacterial small subunit ribosomal RNA", at positions 28 to 507 of the family's 1533-position model. The record is from RNAcentral.